AACGCACAUUGCGCCCUUUGGUAUUCCGAAGGGCAUGCCUGUUCGAGCGUCAUUAUCACCCCUCAAGCCCCUGGCUUGGUGUUGGACGGUUUGGUGGAGGCCCCCUCGGGGGCUCCUGCCCCUCCCAAAGACAAUGACGGCGGCCUCGUUGGACCCCCGGUACACUGAGUUCUUCACGGGACACGUAUCGGACACAUGGGUUUACGGGACACGGUCUGCCUCCCCUCAGGGAGAAUCUUUCUAAGGUUGACCUCGGAUCAGGUAGGGAUACCCGCUGAACUUAA
RNAcentral lists this unclassified non-coding RNA (284 nucleotides) under uncultured Exophiala. Its description in RNAcentral is "sequence contains ITS2". The stretch from base 1 to 52 matches the Rfam family "5.8S ribosomal RNA", at positions 103 to 154 of the family's 154-position model. Lineage: Eukaryota; Fungi; Ascomycota; Eurotiomycetes; Chaetothyriales; Herpotrichiellaceae. The record is from RNAcentral.